UAGGGAAUCUUCGGCAAUGGGGGGAACCCUGACCGAGCAACGCCGCGUGAGUGAAGAAGGUUUUCGGAUCGUAAAGCUCUGUUGUUAAGGAAGAACGAGUGUGAGAAUGGAAAGUUCAUACUGUGACGGUACUUAACCAGAAAGGGACGGCUAACUACGUGCCAGCAGCCGCGGUAAUACGUAGGUCCCGAGCGUUGUCCGGAUUUAUUGGGCGUAAAGCGAGCGCAGGCGGUUAGAUAAGUCUGAAGUUAAAGGCAGUGGCUCAACCAUUGUAGGCUUUGGAAACUGUUUAACGUGAGUGCAGAAGGGGAGAGUGGAAUUCCAUGUGUAGCGGUGAAAUGCGUAGAUAUAUGGAGGAACACCGGUGGCGAAAGCGGCUCUCUGGUCUGUAACUGACGCUGAGGCUCGAAAGCGUGGGGAGCGUACAGG
This 429-nucleotide ribosomal RNA is filed under the name Bacteroidota bacterium. Its description in RNAcentral is "Bacteroidetes bacterium partial 16S ribosomal RNA". It matches the Rfam family "Bacterial small subunit ribosomal RNA", at positions 355 to 776 of the family's 1533-position model. Lineage: Bacteria; Pseudomonadati; Bacteroidota. The record is from RNAcentral.